This 459-nucleotide ribosomal RNA is filed under the name uncultured bacterium. RNAcentral's name for it is "partial 16S ribosomal RNA". It matches the Rfam family "Bacterial small subunit ribosomal RNA", at positions 338 to 795 of the family's 1533-position model. The record is from RNAcentral.
CAGAGGUGAGGCUGCAGGGAGGAAUAUUGGUCAAUGGCCGUAAGGCUGAACCAGCCAAGUCGCGUGAAGGAAGAAGGAUCUAUGGUUUGUAAACUUCUUUUAUAGGGGAAUAAAGGUAUCCACGUGUGGAUAUUUGCAUGUACCCUAUGAAUAAGCAUCGGCUAACUCCGUGCCAGCAGCCGCGGUAAUACGGAGGAUGCGAGCGUUAUCCGGAUUUAUUGGGGUUAAAGGGUCGUAGGUUGUUUUUUAAGUCAGCGGUGAAAGUUUGUGGCUCAACCAUAAAAUUGCCGUUGAAACUGGAAGACUUGAGUGUGUUUGAGGUAGGCGGAAUGCGUGGUGUAGCGGUGAAAUGCAUAGAUAUCACGCAGAACUCCGAUUGCGAAGGCAGCUUACUAAGCCAUAACUGACACUGAAGCACGAAAGCGUGGGGAUCAAACAGGAUUAGAUACCCGAGUAGUC